RNAcentral lists this transfer RNA (76 nucleotides) under Clostridiales bacterium. RNAcentral describes it as "tRNA-Pro". It matches the Rfam family "tRNA". From Rfam's summary of the family: Transfer RNA (tRNA) molecules are approximately 80 nucleotides in length. Their secondary structure includes four short double-helical elements and three loops (D, anti-codon, and T loops). The record is from RNAcentral. RNAcentral also lists the same sequence under 1 other name. Lineage: Bacteria; Bacillati; Bacillota; Clostridia; Eubacteriales.
CGGGGUGUGGCUCAGUUGGUAGAGCGCGUGGUUUGGGACCAUGAGGUCGGGAGUUCGAGACUCUCCACCCCGACCA